AUGCAUUUUCAUGGCAGAGUGCCUCCUCAGCUAGGCAACCUCUCCAAACUAGUACAACUUGACAUGCACGCCAAUUAUGACACUGAUCUACACACAAAUGAUAUAUCUUGGCUAGCAUCUCUUGGCUUGCUAGAGCAUCUAAACAUGGGCGGGAUCAACCUCAGUGGAGUCAUUGACUGGGUCCAUAAGGUCAACGCCCUUCCCAAUUUGGUUGUGCUGGCUAUGUUUUCAUGUGGUCUUAUUAAGAGUAAUGUUUCAUGGUCACUUGUACACCAGAACCUUACAGUUCUUGAGGAGCUUGACCUCUCUUAUGACCCUUUCCAUGGGCCGUCCGCAUCCAACUGGUUUUGGGAUGUAACUAGCCUCAAAAGGCUACACUUACAGGGUUGUGAAUUAUCAGGCACGUUUCCUGACGAGUUGGGCAACUUGACCUUGUUGGAGACUUUUGACGUUCUAGGAAACAACAUCCAAGGAAUGAUACCUACAACCCUGAAAAAUAUGUGUAACUUACGGUCUCUUGAUCUCAGCUUCAACAACAUCGGCGGGGGCAUAACAGAGGUGAUAGAUAGGAUACCUAAUUGUUCUCGGAAAAAUUUGCAAGAAUUGGGUCUAAUGGAUGCCAACAUCACUGGCACAACAUUACAAUUUGUGACAAACCUGACUAGCUUAUACGUGCUUAAUGUCCAUGGCAACCAGUUGAGUGGUUCAGUGCCCGUGGAGAUUGGCACGCUUGCAAAUUUGACCUACUUAAACCUUGGAGACAACACCUUGAGCGGUGUGAUAUCAGAAGACCAUUUUGCUGGUUUGAUGAAUUUAGAGUCUCUUGACUUAUCCUAUAAUAAUUUGGAUGUUAUUGUGGACUCACAUUGGAUACCUCCGUUCAACUUGGAAUCGGCAUGGUUUUCAUCUUGUCAUUUAGGUCCCCAAUUUCCUAAAUGGCUUCGUUGGCAGAAAAGCACCAAGAUCCUUCAUAUUUCAAACACAUGCCUAGUUGGUAAGAUCCCAUAUUGGUUUUGGACUACCUUUUCUGAUGCUACAUAUUUGGACAUCUCCUUGAACCAUCUUAGCGGCAAUUUGCCACUCAAUCUUGAGUUCAGGUCAGUGAUUAAACUUUUAAUGCAGCCAAAUCUGCUAACUGGUUUGAUACCCAAGUUAUCAAGAACAAUUGAGAUAUUGGACAUAUCUAGAAAUUCUUUAAAUGGCUUUGUGCCAAAUUUCCAAGCUCCACAACUACGGGCGGCAGUUCCUUUUUCCAAUUCUAUAACUGGGACUAUUCCGAAAACAAUUUGUCGAAUGCAAAAAUUGCGGGUUUUGGAUCUUUCGAACAAUCUGCUUUCAAAGGAACUUCCUGAUUGUGGUAUAAAAGAGCUAAAACAAGGGAACCCGUCUAGCAACAACUCUUCAAAAGUCAGAUCUCUGAGAUAUUUCAGUUUGAGGAUCACUAGUUUCCUUCUAAGCAACAACCAUUUUUCAAGUGGAUUUCCUUUGUUCCUACGACAAUGUCCAAGGCUGGUUUUCCUCGAUCUAACUCAAAACAAAUUCACUGGAGAGUUACCCGGAUGGAUUAGUGAAGCCAUGCCUAGUUUGGUUAUGCUACGGUUAAGAUCAAACAAAUUUUCAGGUCACAUUCCAGUUGAAAUAAUGGGACUUCAAGAUGUUCGUAUCCUGGAUCUGUCCAAUAAUAACUUUUCUGGGGCCAUACCAAAAUGUUUAGAAAAAUUGAAAGCUUUGACUCACACAGCUACUUCUAAUAAUACAUCAUUUGAUAAUCUUUUUGAUGAAGGAUAUCGUAGCUCUACAUCCAUGUCCUUUAGUUUGUCUAAUGAUAGCUUCUUGGUGGUGAUAAAAGGGCAGCUGCUUGAGUACAGGGAGAAUACUCUAUACUUGAUGAGCAUUGAUUUAUCUUGCAAUAGUUUAAUCGGAGAAAUCCCGGAGGACCUUACCUCCCUCGUUGGACUCAUAAAUUUGAAUUUAUCAUCAAACUUGUUGAGUGGAAAUAUUCCAUAUAAGAUUGGCAACCUUCGCUCACUGGAGUCUCUUGAUCUCUCAAAGAACAAACUUGCUGGUGAAAUUCCGGAAGGCUUAUCAGAUUUGACAUACUUGAGCUGUCUCAAUUUGUCAUACAAUAAUCUGUCAGGAAGAAUACCUUCAGGGCAUCAACUCGACAUCCUCGAGACAAAUGAUCCAGCUUCCAUGUACAUUGGUAAUCCUGGUCUUUGUGGACUUCCAGUUUCAAGGCAAUGCCCACGUCCUCCUAGAGACCCACCCAGCAAUGGAGAUUCAGCAAGAUGGUUUGAAUAUGGCUCGUCUCAAAUGGAUUUUCUUAUAGGAUUAAUUGUUGGUUUUGUGGUGGGUGCUUGGAUGGUAUUUUGCGGGCUUCUAUUCAUGAAGAGAUGGAGGUAUACUUAUUUUGGGGUAUUCGACAAGCUAUAUGACAGAUUGUAUGUCAUUUCUGUUGUUACUCGCCAAAAAAGGUUCGGGAACACGGGCUAA
Molecule: ribosomal RNA, 2493 nt
Filed under: Triticum aestivum (bread wheat)
Lineage: Eukaryota; Viridiplantae; Streptophyta; Magnoliopsida; Poales; Poaceae
Description: partial small subunit ribosomal RNA
Source: RNAcentral